GAACGUACCCGGCUCGGCAUUGUCUGAGACCAUCGGUUGUGUCUCCGGGUCGCUCUGCAGGUUCUGAUCCGACGUGAGAAGCCCCUUGUUGACCUGCAGGUUUUUGUAGUACUCCGAGUCUAGAUUGGUGGGCGUCGUCACGUCCAGGUCCACAAGGUUGUUGGGUUUGUCUGCGGGGCACUGCCUCUUCAGCGACUCGGCGUAGUCGGGAUCCAUAUUGGCGUCAGAGGGAGUGGUGAGGCGAUUUC
Molecule: long non-coding RNA, 248 nt
Filed under: Physcomitrium patens
Lineage: Eukaryota; Viridiplantae; Streptophyta; Bryopsida; Funariales; Funariaceae
Description: long non-coding RNA (PPAT_LNC011317)
Source: RNAcentral